This 748-nucleotide ribosomal RNA is filed under the name uncultured bacterium. RNAcentral's name for it is "bacterial SSU rRNA". It matches the Rfam family "Bacterial small subunit ribosomal RNA", at positions 58 to 817 of the family's 1533-position model. The record is from RNAcentral.
CAAGUCGAACGGACAGGUAAUGAAACCUAGUGAUUUAUCUGUUAGUGGCGGACGUGUGAGUAACGCGUGGGUAACCUGCCGUAUACAGGGGGAUAACACUUAGAAAUAGGUGCUAAAACCGCAUAAGCGCACAGGAUCGCAUGGUCUGGUGUGAAAAACUCCGGUGGUAUACGAUGGACCCGCGUCUGAUUAGCUUGUUGGCGGGGUAGAGGCCCACCAAGGCGACGAUCAGUAGCCGGCCUGAGAGGGUGAACGGCCACAUUGGGACUGAGACACGGCCCAAACUCCUACGGGAGGCAGCAGUGGGGAAUAUUGCACAAUGGGGGAAACCCUGAUGCAGCGACGCCGCGUGAGUGAAGAAGUAUUUCGGUACGUAAAGCUCUAUCAGCAGGAAAGAAAAUGACGGUACCUGACUAAGAAGCCCCGGCUAACUACGUGCCAGCAGCCGCGGUAAUACGUAGGGGGCAAGCGUUAUCCGGAUUUACUGGGUGUAAAGGGAGCGUAGACGGUGAAGCAAGUCUGAAGUGAAAGGCGGGGGCUCAACCCCCGGACUGCUUUGGAAACUGUUUGACUGGAGUGCAGGAGAGGUAAGUGGAAUUCCUAGUGUAGCGGUGAAAUGCGUAGAUAUUAGGAGGAACACCAGUGGCGAAGGCGGCUUACUGGACUGUAACUGACGUUGAGGCUCGAAAGCGUGGGGAGCAAACAGGAUUAGAUACCCUGGUAGUCCACGCGGUAAACGAUGAUCACU